UACAGAGGUGGCAAGCGUUGUUCGGAAUUACUGGGCGUAAAGGGCGAGUAGGUGGCCAUCUAAGUCAGACGUGAAAUCCCCCGGCUUAACCUGGGAACUGCGUCUGAUACUGGACGGCUUGAGUAUGGGAGAGGAACGUAGAAUUCCAGGUGUAGCGGUGAAAUGCGCAGAUAUCAGGAGGAACACCGGUGGCGAAGGCGGGUCUCUGGGCAACAACUGACGCUGAGGAGCGAAAGCGUGGGGAGCGAACAGG
Molecule: ribosomal RNA, 253 nt
Filed under: uncultured bacterium
Lineage: Bacteria
Description: partial 16S ribosomal RNA
Rfam family: Bacterial small subunit ribosomal RNA
Source: RNAcentral